This 465-nucleotide ribosomal RNA is filed under the name Vreelandella stevensii. Its description in RNAcentral is "partial 16S ribosomal RNA". It matches the Rfam family "Bacterial small subunit ribosomal RNA", at positions 338 to 795 of the family's 1533-position model. Lineage: Bacteria; Pseudomonadati; Pseudomonadota; Gammaproteobacteria; Oceanospirillales; Halomonadaceae. The record is from RNAcentral.
CCUACAGGUGGCAGCAGUGGGGAAUAUUGGACAAUGGGCGAAAGCCUGAUCCAGCCAUGCCGCGUGUGUGAAGAAGGCCUUCGGGUUGUAAAGCACUUUCAGUGGGGAAGAAAGCCUUGGGGCUAAUACCCUCGAGGAAGGACAUCACCCACAGAAGAAGCACCGGCUAACUCCGUGCCAGCAGCCGCGGUAAUACGGAGGGUGCGAGCGUUAAUCGGAAUUACUGGGCGUAAAGCGCGCGUAGGCGGUCUGAUAAGCCGGUUGUGAAAGCCCCGGGCUCAACCUGGGAACGGCAUCCGGAACUGUCAGGCUAGAGUGCAGGAGAGGAAGGUAGAAUUCCCGGUGUAGCAGUGAAAUGCGUAGAGAUCGGGAGGAAUACCAGUGGCGAAGGCGGCCUUCUGGACUGACACUGACGCUGAGGUGCGAAAGCGUGGGUAGCAAACAGGAUUAGAUACCCUAGUAGUC